Molecule: ribosomal RNA, 440 nt
Filed under: uncultured bacterium
Lineage: Bacteria
Description: partial 16S ribosomal RNA
Rfam family: Bacterial small subunit ribosomal RNA
Source: RNAcentral
CCUACGGGAGGCAGCAGUGGGGAAUAUUGCACAAUGGGGGAAACCCUGAUGCAGCGACGCCGCGUGAGUGCAGAAGUAAUUCGUUAUGUAAAGCUCUAUCAGCAGGGAAGCAAAUGACGGUACCUGAGUAAGAAGCCCCGGCUAACUACGUGCCAGCAGCCGCGGUAAUCCGUAGGGGGCAAGCGUUACCCGGAUUUACUGGGUGUAAAGGGAGCGUAGACGGCAGUGCAAGUAUGGAGUGAAAGGCGGGGGCUCAACCCCCGGACUGCUCUGGAAACUGGACGGCUGGAGUGGAGGAGAGGUAAGUGGAAUUCCUAGUGUAGCGGUGAAAUGCGUAGAUAUUAGGAGGAACACCAGUGGCGAAGGCGGCUUACUGGACUGUAACUGACGUUGAGGCUCGAAAGCGUGGGGAGCAAACAGGAUUAGAUACCCGAGUAGUC